This 1258-nucleotide long non-coding RNA is filed under the name Cavia porcellus (domestic guinea pig). RNAcentral describes it as "lncRNA (ENSCPOG00000032388.1)". Lineage: Eukaryota; Metazoa; Chordata; Mammalia; Rodentia; Caviidae. The record is from RNAcentral.
GGAAGCCGGAGCUGCUGUUUAGAGUACAGUAAAUGGAGUAACUGUCAGGAUGGAUCAAUUAUUUUAUACAGAACUGAGUCGUCAGGGAGGAUUUUCCCCUUCACUUUGAUGGAGGGAGAAACAAAAAUCCUUGAUUCUUUGUGAUUUUUAAGGACAAAGAGAAAUCUUCCAAAUGAUGAGAGGGAGAAAAUAUGAAGACAAGUCUCAUUUCCAGGUCCCUUAGCACAUGCUCAGCGAGCACGUACUGUGUGCAGAAGCUUGAGGUGGCCAAGCAGGGAGCUGGGUCCCUGCGUGGACGGAGGAGUCACAGGGGGGACAGGUCACUGUCUCCUCCUAGCUUGUGCCGUGCUUAGAUGAUGAUUCAGUCUCACUGGCGACUUCAGCUUGAGGUGUGCCGUCCAGCAAGACUUCUCAGCAGUAGGCCACAAGCUGAAGAAAACCCAAAUCACACUGUGUCAGGACCAUUACUAACUACUUCUGCUUUCAAUGACUGUAUAUAUUAUUUCUUCUCACGGAGAUGGAAACUGCUAUUUCUCCCUCGGGCGGAUUAAAAAUGGGUGGUCAACUUACACCCCAGCUGGACUGAAUCAGCAUGGAGCUGAGUGUAGUUGGCCCAUUUGAGGACUGUUGCCAGUAUAAAGGGGAGACCUGGAGGGAAAGAGAGCAGCACGGUGGGUUCUCCUAAGUGUUGUUUGAGCUGCUGGUUCUCAGGGAGGAGCCUGUCAUGCUGGCUUCCCUGAUAUGAACUUGGCUGUUAUCAUCAGAAAAGCUCCAGGCCUUGUCACUGAGAAAGGCUGUGGGCCACUUUGGGGUACCCCUGUCCUCACUUCGAGCAUUGCUUCUUGGCUCCAGAGGGGAAGAUGUGUGCUGCUGAGUCUCCAGAAGCUUGUCAUGCUGACUUCCUGAUAUGAACUCGGCUGUUCUCCUUGGUGGAGCUAGGGACCUUGUUGUCACUUAGGAUGGCUGUACUUUUGGGAGAAGCCUUGGCCCUUAUUUUGAGCUUUGCUUCUUGGUUCCAGUGCAAAACCCUCAACCUUUGGGCACAGAUCCUUCAGACAGUAGUCACGGACUUUCUAGCUUUCAUCACUGGCCUUCCCCGCAGAGAUCCAUGAAACUGAUUUGUAUGAGUCAUUGUCAUGGGCUCUAGGUCUUUAGUGGCCUCAUGCAGGAGGACAUUGCUGUGGGAUCCAGGCCCUCAGAUUCUCUAGAUCUUUAGUGUGUGGACAGAUUUCCUGCACUGCUUGUAUUUGACUCUGGG